Molecule: ribosomal RNA, 565 nt
Filed under: uncultured eukaryote
Lineage: Eukaryota
Description: bacterial SSU rRNA
Rfam family: Eukaryotic small subunit ribosomal RNA
Source: RNAcentral
AGCUCGUAGUUGGACUUCUGGGUUGUGAUUGUGGUCCGCCUAACGGGGUGCUUUGUGGUUGCGACUCUUCUUCCCGCAGGUUGGCGUUGCACUUAUUGGUGGGCUGUUGGAAUAUGGGACCUUUACUUUGAAAAAAUUAUAGAGUGCAAAGGAGGGCUUCGCUUGAAUACAUUAUCAUGGAGUAAUAGAAUAAGACUUUGGUUCUAUUUUGUUGGUUUCUACGACCGAAGAAAUGAUGAAUAGGAACAGUUGGUGGCAUUAUUAUUUAAUUGUCAGAGGAGAAGUUCUUGUAGUUAUGAAAGACUAACUACUGCUAAAGCAUUUGCCAAGGAUGUUGUCAUUAAUCAAGAACAAAAGUUAGGGGAUCAAAGACGAUCAUAUACCGCCGUAGUCUUAACCAUAAUCUAUGACGACUUGUGAUCAGUGGGGGGAAAUUUCUUCUUAUCUCCACCAUAUGAUAAAUCAAAGUUUUUGGGUUCUGGGGGCAGUAUGAUCAUAAGGCUGAAACUUAAAGGAAUUGACAGAAGGGCACCGCCACGAGCGGAACCUGAGGCUGAAUUUGACU